GGGGCUGUAGCUCAGAUGGAUAGAGCAACCGCCUCCUAAGCGGUAGGUCGCGCGUUCGAAUCGCGCCAGUCCCG
RNAcentral lists this transfer RNA (74 nucleotides) under Kaiparowitsia implicata GSE-PSE-MK54-09C. Its description in RNAcentral is "tRNA-Arg". It matches the Rfam family "tRNA". Rfam says of the family: Transfer RNA (tRNA) molecules are approximately 80 nucleotides in length. The record is from RNAcentral. RNAcentral also lists the same sequence under 1 other name. Lineage: Bacteria; Bacillati; Cyanobacteriota; Cyanophyceae; Oculatellales; Oculatellaceae.